Fukomys damarensis (Damara mole-rat) is the source of this 396-nucleotide long non-coding RNA. RefSeq lists it as uncharacterized. The transcript is spliced from 3 exons. The record is from RefSeq and is a predicted model, not a curated record. Lineage: Eukaryota; Metazoa; Chordata; Mammalia; Rodentia; Bathyergidae.
UCCAUUUUUGUCAUCUGCAGUCCCUUUGGUGCUGGCUUCCAGCUCGGGCUGGGGAGGGGAGAGAAGCGGAUUACAGGUCAGCCAUAUGCCAGGCCUGGAAGCGGGAUGUACAUCUCUGUUGCAUUUUCUUCAUCAGCGGUGGUUCGGAGAGAUGGAAAUGUCUCAUAGCAGUGUCUUAUCUGGAACCAUUAAUACGAACUCUACAAAAGCCAGAUUGCUGGGUUAAAAGAUCAUCAAGCACUUCAAUCCCCCCACUCCUACCUGGUACUGGCUGUUUUGGUGAAGAAGUCUGGGGUCUGCUUCAAUUCUUUUCUCCUUGAUGUGACAAGAUUUUUCUACCUUUUGCAGUAAGAUUUUUCUUUUCCAUUUUUGAAGUUCAGCAAUUUCAAAAGAGUA